GACGAACGCUGGCGGCGUGCUUAACACAUGCAAGUCGAACGCCCCGCAAGGGGAGUGGCAGACGGGUGAGUAACACGUGGGAACGUACCCUUUGGUUCGGAAUAACUUGGGGAAACUCAAGCUAAUACCGGAUAAGCCCUUAUGGGGAAAGGUUUACUGCCGAAGGAUCGGCCCGCGUCGGGUUAGCUAGUUGGUGAGGUAAUGGCUCACCAAGGCGACGAUCAGUAGCUGGUCGGAGAGGAUGAUCAGCCACACUGGGACUGAGACACGGCCCAGACUCCUACGGGAGGCAGCAGUGGGGAAUAUUGGACAAUGGGGGCAACCCUGAUCCAGCCAUGCCGCGUGAGUGAUGAAGGCCUUAGGGUUGUAAAGCUCUUUUACCCGGGACGAUAAUGACUGUACCGGGAGAAUAAGCCCCGGCUAACUUCGUGCCAGCCGCCGCAGUAA
RNAcentral lists this ribosomal RNA (447 nucleotides) under uncultured bacterium. RNAcentral's name for it is "partial 16S ribosomal RNA". It matches the Rfam family "Bacterial small subunit ribosomal RNA", at positions 28 to 523 of the family's 1533-position model. The record is from RNAcentral.